UUGGCUUUUGUAUAAGGACAACCCCCUCUUGAAUUACAAAUGAAACCUUCCUUGCUUCAAGACAUAUGAUGAAGCCAUCCCCUAUUUUCAUCAACCCCCACAUCUCUUGCCCCACAUCCCUUCUCCUUUAGUGUGAAAACUUCUCUUCUACAAACCAGCCUCCUGUAAUAAGGAUGUCUCUCGAAAUUUGGGGCAGCUACAUAUUGGGGGCAAUAGGAGGGGUGGAGGGCCUCCUGUUCCUGCUUGUACUCAUUCUGUCUGGCUGUAUUUACCGGCUCCAAAAAAGAGUGAGGAGACUGGAGAGGGACAGGGAUGACUCUUUGGAGCAGCAGCUUCAUUAUGCCUCUUUCCAGGGACUUCCAUCUGGGCUGAAGGAACAAGCUGGAGAAGCUUUUCAAAAUGAUCCCAGUGGGGACUAUGCCUGUGUCAAGAAGUCUAGUAAUGUGUAGUUGCAACUUCAGAAGUCAUACCCAAGGAGUUUGUACCAGAAGGAUGCCAAUAAUAGUGAUGAUGCCGACCAAAAAUGCUAAGUGGCAAUGGGGAGAGAGGUCCAAGUUCCAAUCUGUUGAUGACCUCAACAUCUUCAUACUCUCCCCAGGACCCCAACAAAACAGGGGAGCUUCACCCCCAAUGAAUCCAAUAAAGAGUAUUUUGUUCUCA
Molecule: long non-coding RNA, 660 nt
Filed under: Monodelphis domestica (gray short-tailed opossum)
Lineage: Eukaryota; Metazoa; Chordata; Mammalia; Didelphimorphia; Didelphidae
Description: lncRNA (ENSMODG00000049364.1)
Source: RNAcentral